GCAAACUUGGUCAUUUAGAGGAAGUAAAAGUCGUAACAAGGUCUCCGUUGGUGAACCAGCGGAGGGAUCAUUACCGAGUUUACAACUCCCAAACCCAAUGUGAACGUUACCAAACUGUUGCCUCGGCGGGAUCUCUGCCCCGGGCGCGUCGCAGCCCCGGACCAAGGCGCCCGCCGGAGGACCAACCCAAAACUCUUUAUGUAUACCCCCUCGCGGGUUUUUUUACUUCUGAGACUUUCUCGGCGCCCCUAGCGGGCGUUUCGAAAAUGAAUCAAAACUUUCAACAACGGAUCUCUUGGUUCUGGCAUCGAUGAAGAACGCAGC
This 324-nucleotide unclassified non-coding RNA is filed under the name uncultured fungus. RNAcentral describes it as "partial contains small subunit ribosomal RNA, internal transcribed spacer 1, and 5.8S ribosomal RNA". The stretch from base 1 to 73 matches the Rfam family "Eukaryotic small subunit ribosomal RNA", at positions 1759 to 1831 of the family's 1831-position model. Lineage: Eukaryota; Fungi. The record is from RNAcentral.